Molecule: long non-coding RNA, 4025 nt
Organism: Physeter macrocephalus (sperm whale)
Lineage: Eukaryota; Metazoa; Chordata; Mammalia; Artiodactyla; Physeteridae
Exons: 5
Source: RefSeq, a predicted model, not a curated record
UUAUUGCUAUAUCAACAAUAUAUAUAUUAGGUUUACAGUCAGAAAAGAAAAUCUGGCUUUGAGUUCUUGCUCUGCCACCUACUAUGACCUUGGGCAGGUUGUUGAAUCCUGGUUCCAUUUUCUUUGCGUGUAAAACAAGAUAACACCUCUCUCACAGGAUUGUUGUGAAAAUUAAGUUAAAAUAUGUUCAAUUACUCAUUCCACAGAUAUUUAUUGAGGGUCUAUUAUGUGCGAGGGUUUUGUGGGGCAGUGCAAGGUCCCUGACCUCAAAGAGCACAUAGUGGGGGUGGGGUGACUUUUAACAAGUUUACACAAAUACAAACAUAGAUAGUUACCAACCAUGAUUAGCUAUGAAGAAAAAAGCAACACACAUACUUAAAGAGAGUAACAGGGCAGACUGAUGUACACUGGGGGAUCUCUGAGGUGUUUAGCUGAGAUUUAAAGGACAAAUUCAAGUUAGCUGAGGAAAGAGGGAGAGAGAGUUUUGCAAACAGAGGGAACAGCACACAUACUUGCAAGCUCAGGGGCAGUAGAGAGUGCUAGUUAUUUAUAAAGUCAGUGAAGCUGAAGCCCAGCAUGUGGCAGAAAGAUGCGCCUGGAGAGGUGGGCAGGGGCCAGACCACCACACACCUUCCAGGCAUCUUAAGGAUUUUGGAUCCUAUCCUAAGGGCAAUGAGAAACCACUGGGAUUUGAGCUAGGAGAUCUAGCUAGGAUCCAGUUCACACCUAAAGAAAAUCACCCUUGUUGCUGUGUGGAGAGUGGAAGACUGGGAAGAAGUAAGAGUGAAGGCCAAGAGACCAGUUAGAAAGUAGUCUAGACAAAAUAAGAGAGUGGUUCAUACUCGGAUGGUGUCAACAGAAAGAACUGGGGGGGGCGGGGUGGAGACAGAGAAAUGGAUGGAUUCAACAUCUAUAUUUAGGGUGGAUUAGAAAUAGGGAGUGAGGGAAAGGACAGGAUGUAUCAGGAUGGCUGCCAGAUUUCUACAGUGAACUUCUGGGUAGUCACAGGUGCCCUUUAUUGAAAUGGAGAAGGCCAGAGGUGGAAGAGAUUUAAAACAGAGAAGAGGGAAUGAAGGGUUCAUUUUUUAAUAUGUUUAAUUUGUGCUGUCUAUGAGAUACCCAAGGGGAUUUAUCAAGAAGGCAGUUAAAUAUACACAGAUUGAGGGCACAGAGACAAGGGUUUUAAAGGAACUUCCUAUACUUGACUGUACUCCUUUAAAGUUUUAAAAAGUAUCUUCCUCUGGCAUCUGAUCUUACUAAAGCUUCUUUCACAAUGUUGUGGAUAAAAGUGCAGCAGUUAACAGAGUACCUAACUUUACUUCACAGCCAGAAAGAGUUCAAGAUACUUUAGGAACCUUACUGCCUUUGGUGAUUCUGACUUUUCCCACUUACACAGGAAGUCAGGGGCAACUGGUUCUGGGAUAUCUCAUCCUUCCCUUCAUUGGGACACUAUGGAAUGUGAAAUCCAUCACCAAGAGGCCCACCUGAAAAUGUGCUACAUAUCAGUACAAUUCCAACUCCGUGGAAAAAGAGACAACCCUGGACAAUUUUUUUAAGUUUUGUUUUGUUUUUUUAAGUUGUCGACCACAUCCUGAAUUGAGAGCAAAUACUCUGGGGAUUCAGUAGAAAACAGAGCAUUUCUUUUUGAACCUGGCCUCACAAAGAACCUCCAUGAAAAAGGUGCCCUCCUCGGCCUAACCCCACAAUCCACCCACCAGUUCACUUGGCCCUACUCGGCAGUCCGGUGGACGCGGCGGGCAGGAAACCAGCCUCUAGGAGGAGUGCAGAAGCAGGCUCCCGCCUGCCGGCCGCCCAACCAGAAUGGAACCAAGGGAAGUGUUCUCACUAAAAUUCAACAAGAAACCAACUUUGGGAUCAGAUUGGAUUCCAGAUUUUGAUCAAAUGGUGUUCACUUUUGCUUUAAGUAAUUGGAUCAGUUCUGUCUUCAUUAGCUUUUGUCGAUUAAUGUCAGCAUUUGGCUCGUUUCUUCUCUUUUGCUGCCAAAGUUGCUGCCAUUUUAACUAUAUCACCACUCUCCUUCUCGAUGUAAAAUCUUACCCGGAAUCAUCAUGUAGAAAACAGACAAAGCAGGGCUGUUCUGACAAACCCACCCAUUUAGUCCCUGCCAGCUGUCUCUCAACCCCAUUCCCACACCUCCCCCGCACACACACUGUGGGUCCCUGAGGCACCUCCACAGGCUCCUAUGGCCCCAGAACUUAAUUUUUUUCAACAUCAUCUUAAGAAAGAAAAAAAAAAAAAAAAAAAAGAAUAGCAAUGUCCUUCAUUCUUGAUAUUCUUGAUAAAGAGGAUGAUACUUUUUUUUCCUACAUGCCAAACUGCAAGCCAGGCCUACUCAACAAAAUCUAUACCAUUUUAUUGAACAUCAGAAACAAGGAAGAAGGUAUAGAUGCCAAGCUAAAAGAAACACUGCUUCAAAGCAGGCCACUGACCCCACAAGAACAAAUAAAUUCCUCUGAAACAUUGUGGUUUGAAAGCAUUUACAUAUACUCUAUCUCAUUGGACCCUCAGAGUGCACUUGUGUAGGUGGCUUCUAGUUCCAUUUUUCUAUAAGGAUUUGAGAUGGUGAGUGACCUACAAGGCAGGGGCCACCAUGUGGAGACAGCUUGCUCUAAAGUGAAGCCAAUUCAAAGUAAAGUAGAAUUGACAGAGAGAAACAGACAGAGAAAAUAACCCCAUUGAGGCUGUCAGCCCCAGCUGUCCUGAGCAAGCCCUACCCUUGGACUUUCCAAUCAAGAGAAGCAACGAAUUCCUUUCUUGAUUCAGCCAGUUUGUCAAGCUUCAGAAAGAGUCCUGAGUCGCCACUAUGACAGAGCACUAGAGAGGGAGUGAUGGAUGCCAGCUUCUGUAGGAGCAACGAGAGUGACCAAAACUGCUGUCAGACUACGAGGACUGCUGGGUCCUGAAGAAUUUUCUGGGUGACUUGAGGACUGAUGACUUGUUUCCCAUUUCCCCCCCUCCUCAGACAUCUAUUUGACCUACUCCUGCCACAGAGGGAAACCUGAGCAUGCCCCCGGUUCUCACAGCCUGAUGGAGCCCAGGGACCACAUCCCUCUUCUGUCCCUCCUCAGUAAGCGGGAGGUCCACCUCACUACUCUUCAGCCCACGUUCCAUAUUCCUAUGCCUUUUCCCUUUGCUCAUUUCAACUAGGAGGUAAAUCACCAUAAUGUAUGUUUUUAAAAUUUGCAUUUCUUUCAUUACUAUGAGAUUGAAUACUACACUGAACAUAUGUUAAUUAGGUGUUUUUACUUUUUAUUUCCUCUUCCGAGAAUUAUAUGUUUAUGUUUGUUGCCAAUUUAUCUACUGGAAAAUCAUUACUUACUUAUAUAAAAAUUAUCUAUGACACACAAGAGAAAUCCAUGAAUUCCAUUAAAAAUGUAAAAUAUCACAAUCAGUAAGGCUCUGUUGUUUCAAAGCAAUCCCACAAAUACAUCUAAAUGAAUCAUGUCAAUUUCUUUAAAAUCCAGACCUAUGCCUGCUAUGUUAAGUUAUUUGAGAUGUUGGAGCUUACCAGAUAUUGUUAAUCUGACAUUAAAGCAAAUCUUGGUUCAGGAAACCUGGUAUUUAGGUUUGAUGUUGUUUAUAGCUCCCUCUGUCACAGCAACUGCACAUUCCAUCCAAAAGCAGCAGAAUACACAUUCUUCUCAAGUGCACAUGGAACAUUUUCCAGGAUUGAUCACAUGCUGGGCCACAAAGUGAGCCUCAGUAAAUUUAAGAAAAUUGAAAUCAUAUCAAGUGUCUUUUCCAACCACAACACUAUGAGAUUAGAAAUCAAUUACAAGAAAAAAACUGUAAAAAGCACAAACACGUGGAAGCUAAACAAUAUGUUACUAAACAACCAAUGGAUCAGUGAAGAAAUCCAAGAGCAAAUCAAAAAGUACCUAGAGACAAAUGGAAAUGAAAGCACAAUGAUCCAAAACCUAAGGGAAGCAGCAAAAGCAGUUCUAAGAGGGAAGUUUAUAGCAAUACAAUCUUACCUCAGGAAACAAGAAAAAUCUCAAAUAAAC